Long non-coding RNA from Bos taurus (domestic cattle), 470 nucleotides. NCBI's taxonomy places the organism in Eukaryota, Metazoa, Chordata, Mammalia, Artiodactyla, Bovidae. The record is from Ensembl.
GCAUAUUCUGUUUUCCGUUGGCGUCCAUGAAAGAGUAACAGGCUCCAGUCCCUUCACGUGUCCUGAAACUACUCACCUAUCUAAGAAUCUCAGCAUUAUUGGCAUAACUCCACCUCCCUGUGCCUUUCCUCUCACGGAAGGAAGCUGAAAGAAGGGAUGAGUCAUGAGAAGCACAUACAGAGCUGGCCUGUCAGUGGAGCCAUUACUGCUGAGAAUGACCAGAACGUGGGGCUCAAGAACAUCACCCUGUGAUAGAAGGUGGAGCCAAAAAGCUACUGCCCUCACAGCUGCCGUAAACCGCCUCUUGUCUUCCAGGAGGCUGGGAGCAAUAAAGGUCCAACUGAAUAAGUAUCCGUCCUUGUGAAGUUAUGAAGCAUUGUUAAACUACGCUCUAAAUCAAUUCUCACUGAAUCACAUCACUUGUUUCCCCUCAGAAACUUAGUGAUUAGAAGUCAGUGUGCCUUCUUAAU